GGGUGGGCUAUAGCCUUGGGGGGUGGGGCAGGCCAACUUAGUCCGCCGGACUCGGAAUGGCGCGAGACUUUGUGAACGGCCUCCGUGUGCCAAAAAUAGGCUACGGGCACAGCCGCACCCAAAAAUAACCGCCCGAAGGACGGGGUGCCAAGUUCGUCCAGCGGAAAAAGGCCCAAAAAACGGGUGGGCUAUAGCCUUGGGGGGUGGGGCGGGGCGACUUCGUCCGCCGGACUCGGAAUGGCGCGAGACUUUGCGAGCGGCCUCCGUGUGCUAAAAAUAGGCCGUGCCCAAAAAUAACCGCCCGAAGGCCGGGGCGCCAAAUUCGUCCAGCGGAAAAAGGCCACAAAAACGGGUGGGCUAUAGCCUUGGGGGGUGGGGCUGGCCGACUUCGUCCGCCGGACUCGUAAUGGCGUGGGAGUUUGCGAGCGGCCUCCGUGUGCCAAAAAUCGGCCGCGGGCACAGCCGCGCCCAAAAUAACCGCCCGAACGCUGGGGCGCCAAGUUCGUCCAGCGGAAAAAAGCCACAAAAACGGGUGGGCUAUAUCCUUGGGGGGUGGGGCCGGCCCACUUCGUCCGCCGGACACGGAAUGGCGUGAGAAUUUGCGAGCGGCCUCCGUGUGCCAAAAAUAGGCCGCGAGCACAGCCGCGCCCAAAAAUAACUGCCCGAAUGCCGGGGCGCCAAGUUUGUCCAGCGGAAAAAGGCCACAAAAACGGGUGGUCUAUAGCUUUGGGGGGUGGGGCUGGCCAACUUCGUGCGCCGGAAUCGGAAUAGCGCGAGACUAUGCGAGGCGCCUCCGUGUGCCAAAAUAGGCCGCGGGCACAGCCACGCCCAAAA
Molecule: long non-coding RNA, 834 nt
Filed under: Citrus x clementina
Lineage: Eukaryota; Viridiplantae; Streptophyta; Magnoliopsida; Sapindales; Rutaceae
Description: Citrus clementina (C. clementina) long non-coding RNA (CCLE_LNC005073)
Source: RNAcentral